GGGUGGUUAGCUCAGCUGGUAGAGCGCUUUCUUGACGUGAAAGAGGUUUCACAGGUUCGAUCCCUGUACCACCCA
Molecule: non-coding RNA, 75 nt
Organism: Candidatus Daviesbacteria bacterium
Lineage: Bacteria; Candidatus Daviesiibacteriota
Source: Rfam